This is a non-coding RNA of Schistocephalus solidus, 1926 nucleotides long. The record is from Rfam. NCBI's taxonomy places the organism in Eukaryota, Metazoa, Platyhelminthes, Cestoda, Diphyllobothriidea, Diphyllobothriidae.
AUGAUGGUCUCACUGCAGUGGACAUUGGAGUCGCUGGCGAGGAUCUUAGAAGGAUAGUUUACACUGGGAAUGUUCGCAUCUACUCGACAGCGGAAGUCCAGGAGAAUCUGCGGAGGAUCCAUGGCGACUCAGGUUAUUUCCCCAUCUCCCAUCAACCCGUUAUUUUCUCGAAAUGAGGUGCCUUAUGCCCGUACCAUGAAGCCAGACUACGGCUUCUGCCUCUUUCGGUACAUGGCCUCUUGGACAUCAGCCUGAUGGUAGAGCGUGGCUUAUUGAAGGCCUAUGAUGUCAACAUGCAUGGAGCUGACGGAAGUGUUAACAGGUGACUCUGCCUUGUUGACCCGUGGGCUGCUGGAAUACCGCAGGAGACUCAAACCGGCUGGUAGCCCCCAUGUUUAAUUGGUCCUGAGGUGUCCACUGGCAGCGGACCGUUGCUUGACGAAGUCACUUGCUGAUGCGCCGAAUUAAAGAUUGGUGUUUGUUGUCCCCUUUGUCCCAGUUUACUGACUUUUGUUGCUCAGCCACCUUAUUGUACAUCUACAGAGUUCUCUCAUCGUUGCAAAGCUUGCUUAUCUGGUGCAUUUCUGCCAAACUUGUAUUUUCAUAUUGUGUACAAUAAAUACUUCCUAACCAAAUGCCUCGUCAUCUUUUAAGGAACUCGCAUGAAUGGAUUAACGACAUUCCUACUGUCCCUAUCUACUUUCGCGCGAAACCACAGCCACGGGACCGGGCUUGACAGAAGACCCUGCAAGCUUGACUCUUGGACGACUAUGUGAAGAGACAUGGUAGGUGUUGUAAUAAGUGGGAAGAAGGGAUCACCCUUUAGGAUCUCUCGUUUGACAAUGAAAGACCACUUCUUUUAGUGUUUCUUAACCUAUUAAGUGAAGUGGGAACUGUCAGUUAUUUUCCAUUUUGCCAUUAAGCAAACGUUAGUGCGUUGGUUUCACCCGUUGUGUGAAUUGAUUGCAAGCGUCUGCGCCGCAACUGUCUGGCCAGGGCUAGUGAGAUGUGUGUUUUGCCUUCUACUGCCUGUAUGUUGUUGCUGAAAGGUGGCAGUAAAUAGAUUGUUGAAAGUGGGCGCGUGUCUGGUCUUGAUGCUAUCAUGCAGGUUUGGCGACGUGCGACUCGAGCUGAAGAGUGUGUCAGGCGGGAAGUUUAAUUGGGGCGGUACAUCUGUUAAACCAUAACCCGGGUGUCCUAAGGUGAGCUCAGACCGUAAAAGUGUGUGUUGGCGAUCCUUAUUUAUUACCCGAUAUCCAGACUUUGAAGCAAAAGGUGUCAGAAAAGUUAUAACAGUGAUAACUGGCUAGUGACGGCCAAAAGUUUAUAGCGACGUCGCUUUUUGAUUAUUUGGUGUUGGCUCUUCCUAUCAUAUUGAAGCAUAAUUUAACAAGCUUUGGAUUGCGAACGUGAGCUUGGGUAAGUCAUUCGUUAUACAGGUUAGUUUUAACCUUCUGAUGGUUGAACUGUGUAAAAAGUGAAGUACAAUUUUGUCGUUAAUUUGGUAAUCAUGUUAAGUAAGAGAGGAACCGCAGGUUCAGACAUUUGGUACAUGUUCCUGGUCGAGCAGCCAAUGGUGCAAAGCUGUCAUCUGAGGGAUUAAGACUGAACGCCUCUUUGUCUGAAUACUUUACGAUAGAGUUUGACGGGCCCCGUGUUUCGGCUGACAUAGAACUUUCUGUUCAGUGCCAUCGUGCCCUACCGAACCUUUUUGCUCUGGAAAUGUUAUGCCAGAGUUGUGACCAUGACCGCAUGCACCGGGCCAUUGUGUUGUUUGGGUCCACACGAUAUCCAAUAGUGGUAUGAGCGUAACGGCCCUAAGUCGUAUGUAGACGACUUAACGUUUUUUUAGGGGAGACGUGAGUAUUCGAUCAACUAACACACUGCGAGGUAUUAAGUCCUAUCUCUACCCAACGCAAUGUUUCG